AUUGAACGCUGGCGGCAUGCUUUACACAUGCAAGUCGAACGGCAGCACGAAAGAGCUUGCUCUUUUGGUGGCGAGUGGCGAACGGGUGAGUAACAUAUUGGAACGUACCGAGUAAUGGGGGAUAACUAUCCGAAAGGAUAGCUAAUACCGCAUACGCUUUAAGAAGGAAAGUGGGGGCUCUUCGGACCUCACGUUAUUCGAGCGGCCAAUACCUGAUUAGCUAGUUGGUGGGGUAAAAGCCCACCAAGGCGACGAUCAGUAGCGGGUCUGAGAGGAUGAUCCGCCACACUGGGACUGAGACACGGCCCAGACUCCUACGGGAGGCAGCAGUGGGGAAUUUUGGACAAUGGGCGCAAGCCUGAUCCAGCCAUGCCGCGUGUCUGAAGAAGGCCUUCGGGUUGUAAAGGACUUUUUUAGGGCUGAAAAGGAUAGUGCUAAUACCAUAUCUGCUGACGGACCUAAAGAUAGCCCCGCA
This 475-nucleotide ribosomal RNA is filed under the name Kingella sp. oral taxon D49. RNAcentral describes it as "bacterial SSU rRNA". It matches the Rfam family "Bacterial small subunit ribosomal RNA", at positions 30 to 497 of the family's 1533-position model. The record is from RNAcentral. Lineage: Bacteria; Pseudomonadati; Pseudomonadota; Betaproteobacteria; Neisseriales; Neisseriaceae.